GUGCAUUCUUAUAAACCCCCCAGUUGCUGAUCGUAGCUUCUGGGACAAGGAAGGAUGCAAUAACAAACCUUGAAAUAUCCAAAACGAAGGGUCUUGUUCAAGUGGCUCUUUGCCAAUUUGUUUCUUGGACAAUC
Molecule: small nucleolar RNA, 134 nt
Organism: Anguilla rostrata (American eel)
Lineage: Eukaryota; Metazoa; Chordata; Actinopteri; Anguilliformes; Anguillidae
Product: small nucleolar RNA SNORA14
Exons: 1
Source: RefSeq, a predicted model, not a curated record